Molecule: ribosomal RNA, 433 nt
Filed under: uncultured bacterium
Lineage: Bacteria
Description: partial 16S ribosomal RNA
Rfam family: Bacterial small subunit ribosomal RNA
Source: RNAcentral
AACGAACGCUGGCGGCAUGCCUAACACAUGCAAGUCGAACGAGACCUUCGGGUCUAGUGGCGCACGGGUGCGUAACGCGUGGGAACCUGCCCUUAGGUUCGGAAUAACUCCCCGAAAGGGGUGCUAAUACCGGAUAAUGUCUUCGGACCAAAGAUUUAUCGCCUUUGGAUGGGCCCGCGUUGGAUUAGCUAGUUGGUAGGGUAAAAGCCUACCAAGGCGACGAUCCAUAGCUGGUCUGAGAGGACGAUCAGCCACACUGGGACUGAGACACGGCCCAGACUCCUACGGGAGGCAGCAGUGGGGAAUAUUGGACAAUGGGCGAAAGCCUGAUCCAGCAAUGCCGCGUGAGUGAUGAAGGCCUUAGGGUUGUAAAGCUCUUUUACCCGGGAUGAUAAUGACAGUACCGGGAGAAUAAGCUCCGGCUAACUCCGUG